GCCUACUUCUUCUCCUCCUAAACUCAUUGAACCCAACUCCUCCAAAUCAAAUCACUUGUUGUACUUGUUUCUAAUCUUUGGCCAUGAAAAGGCAGAAGAUGACCAUUGAAUUCGAUGACAACAACAGCAACAAGAGCAACAACAACCUAUUUGAUCUCCUCUCUGAAGAGAUUGUUUUCGCUAUCCUAGACUUGCAAACUAAACUAAAUGACUUUCUGUCAAGUGGGUUGGUGUUAAGCAGUUUACAAUCUAGAAUCCAAGCACCGCAAAACUCUCAAGCCUCUCCGCCAAGAACACCUCCCAAGAAUUCUCAACAGAUACCCACAUAUCUCCCACCUUGAUCUCUCCCUCUGUCCUCGAAUUAACGAUAACUCUCUGACGGUCAUCUCGAAUGCCUGCAAGGAUUCGCUAAGGUCUAUUGAUCUUUCGCGCUCCAGGUUCUUUUCCUAUAAUGGGUUGAUGAGUUUGGCUUGGAAUUGUAAGAAUUUGGUCGAUGUCGACUUGUCGAACGCGACUGAGCUGAGAGAUGCGGCGGCUGCGGCGGUGGCGGAGGCUAAGAAUCUGGAGAGGCUUUGGUUGGGGAGGUGCAAGUUGAUUACGGAUAUGGGUAUUGGAUGUAUUGCGGUUGGGUGCAAGAAGCUAAGAUUAAUUAGCUUGAAAUGGUGUUUAGGUGUUACUGAUUUGGGAGUUGACUUGAUUGCUGUCAAGUGUAAGGAGAUUCGCAGUUUGGAUCUCUCUUAUUUGCCUAUUACAAAUAAGUGUUUGCCUUCCAUUUUGAAACUCCAAUAUCUUGAAGAUUUGGCUAUGGAAGGAUGCUUUGGCAUUGAUGAUGAUAGCCUUACAGCCCUCAAGCACGGUUGCAAGUCACUGAAGAGACUUGAUAUGUCAAGUUGUCAGAACAUUAGUUAUGUCGGUUUGUCUUCCCUGAUCAGUGGUGCUGGAGGUUUAGAGCAGCUGACCUUAGCAUAUGGCUGUCCUGUCACACCAGCGCUUGCUAAUGGUCUGAAAAAUCUUUCAGCAUUGCAAUCUGUCAAACUAGAUGGUUGCAUGGUUACCUCUGCUGGACUGAAGGCCCUUGGAAAUUGUUUGAUAUCAUUAAGGGAGCUGAGCCUAAGUAAGUGUUUAGGGGUGACAGAUGAAGGUCUCUCCUCUCUUGUAACAAAACAUAGAGAGUUGAGGAAGCUAGACAUCACAUGUUGUCGCAAGAUAACUGAUGUUUCUAUUGCUCACAUUACAAGUUCAUGUGGAAACCUCACUUCUCUCAGAAUGGAGUCAUGCACUUUGGUUUCUAGAGAAGCAUUUGUACUUAUUGGACAACGAUGCCAGUUUCUUGAGGAGCUUGAUUUAACAGAUAACGAGAUAGAUGAUGAAGGUCUGAAGUCAAUUUCUAGAUGUUCCAAACUUUCCAGCUUGAAAUUAGGAAUUUGCCUAAACAUCACUGAUGAGGGACUUGCUUAUAUUGGCAUGCACUGCUCAAAACUCACUGAGCUUGACUUAUACAGGUCUGCUGAAAUAACAGAUGCAGGAAUUUUAGCAAUUGCUUCUGGUUGCCAUGACCUGGAGAUGAUUAAUAUGUCCUACUGCAGAGAUAUUACUGAUAGUUCAUUGAUAUCACUGUCAAAAUGUGUGAGGUUAAAUACCUUUGAAAGUCGAGGAUGUCCUCUGAUCACAUCUUUGGGUAUAGCAGCCAUUGCUGUCGGGUGUAAGCAACUUACUAAGUUAGACAUAAAGAAGUGCCACAAUAUUGAUGAUAAUGGGAUGCUUCCACUUGCUCACUUUUCGCAAAACCUCAGACAGAUUACUUUAUCAUAUAGCUCUGUCACAGAUGUGGGGCUCUUGUCCCUCGCUAGCAUCAGCUGCUUGCAAAACAUGACUGUCUUGCAUUUGAAGGGCUUGACUCCAAGCGGAUUGGCAGCUGCCUUGUUGGCAUGUGGAGGACUAACAAAAGUGAAGCUCCAUGUGGCUUUUAAAUCAUUGCUUCCCCACCCACUAUUUGAGCAUUUGGAAGCACGUGGUUGUGUAUUCGAAUGGAGAGACAAACAGUUCCAGGCUGAAUUGGAUCCCAAGUGCUGGAAACUACAAUUGGAAGAUAUGAUUCCAUAAAGAAUUUGAAGUCUGUAAUUGAAUAGAAGCCAUCACUGCUGCAAGGACUGAAGAAGGCCAAGUCCAUGAAUGUUGAAAUUCCAGGAGGAUGUGAUGUGCA
This 2203-nucleotide unclassified non-coding RNA is filed under the name Hevea brasiliensis (rubber tree). The record is from RNAcentral. Lineage: Eukaryota; Viridiplantae; Streptophyta; Magnoliopsida; Malpighiales; Euphorbiaceae.